UUGAGGUUAGCACCAGAUAUAACCCUCCGGUGGGAUCGGCGGGUAAGGGGUUGGUUUUGGCUCGAAUACACGGCCAGACGGGUAAGUUUUCGACCGUAGGACAGGAAACGGUUGAUAUUUUUCUGUCCCAGAGUGAUUGACUGACCGUGUCACUUUGGAACCAGUUUAGUCCAAGUUUUUCUCUUUUAUUAUUUGAUCAAUUCAAUGCUGUUUCUGUGGUGUUUGAUUCUGUGAUUAAAGCUUGAUAUCCAACAGUCUUGAUGAUGUCUCUAGAUGGUGUAAGAUCACUCCGGUGAUCAUUAUGUCUGUC
RNAcentral lists this long non-coding RNA (310 nucleotides) under Helianthus annuus (common sunflower). RNAcentral's name for it is "hypothetical non coding rna". Lineage: Eukaryota; Viridiplantae; Streptophyta; Magnoliopsida; Asterales; Asteraceae. The record is from RNAcentral.